GCCUGGGAAUGGUGGGGUUCAGUUUGGGACUGGCAAUCCAGUGCAUAAAGGACACCCUAGAAGUCUCGUGUUGCACCUCGGGGGACCCUGCUGGGGCCCAAAAGCCAGGGCUUGGAUCUUCCUCUGAUAGUUCUACUUCAUUCUGUCAAAGAUCCAAUUCCCGAAAGAGUUUUUUUCAUCAUCUUCAAACAUCCAGAAUUGGCUCACACAAUUACAGAGGCUGAGAGGCCAUACUAUCUGUCAUGUGCAUGCAGGAGAACCAGGAAUGCUGGUGGUGUAAUUCAGUACAAGUCAGAAGACCUGGGAACCAGGGAGCUGAUGGUGCCCUCAGUGUAUUGGAUGAUACCUGCCAAUACUGGAAAGGCCAUGUGACCACACACCAAGAAGCUAGCUGUCUGCCAGCCAGGAAGAGAGCCCUGACCAGUAAUCAAAUUGGCUGAAGACUUGAUCUUGGACUCCUUGUCUCCAGAAAUGGCUGCUGUAGUAUCCUAGGGGUCUACUCCAGUCCCUGGUUACCUCGAAUUUUCCAGUCCCUGGAUGUCUCACCAGUGAAGGUUGUGAAACAGCAAAAAUGGCAGCCUGCACCCUCCUCUGGGAGCUCCAUCCCAAGAAGAUGUUGGCACUUCUUAGGAAGGAGCCAUCCAUGUCUGAAGAGAAGAAAUGAUAAUUAACUUCAUCAUGUGGAAAGCUUUAGAAGGAAGUAUCUUGUCCUUCUGUCCAAACCCGCCUCCUCCUUACCACCCCCAAUAAAAAUAAAAGCCAAACAAAUAAAACAUUAGCAGUAGCUCUGAGUUUCUUCCUUUCACUUUUUCUCUCUCUUCAUGCCUUUUCUCCUCCAUUCCUUCCUUCUUUCAAAUCAUUUUUACUAGUUUAAGAGAAUAAUUCAAUCUAUAUUUAGAAAUCAGACUUAAAACUUCAAAAAUUAUACUGAAAUAGCUUCCCCUUAAAGGGUGAAACAGUCAUGAUAAAAAUAACAACCGAUAGAAUAAAAUAAUAUAAAAUUAGCUGAGUUUAUAGUUUCUUUUACACCUCCAUAAUUUAUGUGGAUUUGGAAAUACAGACAGUAUACUGAAAACUAAGAAGUUUUCUAUGAAUUAUGAGAAUUUGCAAUCCACAUAGGCUUAAGUCUAAUGUUAGAAGAUAAAACAAAUUGACCUUAAAUAACUUUCUGACAUAACCUCCCCAUUUCAUGGAUGAAAAACCCUAAAGCUCUCAUAAGUAAAGUGAUUUACUUCAGGACACAAACUAGUUGAUUUAGUUUGGAUGUUUGUCCCCUCCAAAUCUCAUGUUGAAAUGGAAUCCCCAGUGUUGGAGGUGGGGCCUGGUGGGAGGUGUUUGUGUCAUGGGGCAGAUCCAUUAUCCUUAUGAGCUGCUUGGUGCUAUCCUUGUGAUAGUGAGUGAGUUCUCAUGAAAUCUGGUUGUUUAAAAAUUUGUGGCACCUCCCCACCAGCCUUGCUCCUGCUCUUGCGGUGUGAUAUGCCUGCUGCCUCUUCACCUUACACCGUGAUUAUAAGCUUCCUGAGGCCUCACCAGAAGCAGUUCUUCUAUCAGGAUUUUAAGAGGGCAGGCAGAACUUUAAAGCAAAGGAAAUUGCUUGUUUUUGUGAAAUUAACCAGUCUGUUAUCAAGGCGGAGGACAAGAUACGAAUGCUAAUCAUUGUGAAGAAACUCAUUACGGAAUUUUCUCCAAUACAUAGGCAAAAGAAGUGGCUGUUAUCAUUUUGCACUAUAACCAGACAUAUAAUGCUGUUGCUCCACAUCCACGUCAGAGAUCCUUGAGGAAUCACCACACUGUCUUCCACAAUGGGUGGUACAUCCAGAAAACAGAAUAUUACUUAGUGCUAAAAAGAAAUGUGCUAUCAAGCCAUGAAAAUAUACAUGGAAAGCGCAACACGGCUGAAUAGAAACAGCUCCGUUCUGCAGCUCCCAGUUGAUCAAUGCAGAAGUUCGUAGGUCUUGAGAUCAAGAGCAACCCCAUGUGGAUCCAUGGUAGAUCACAAGAUCUGGAAGUUUGUGCCUAAUGUUGUUAUCAGAUGAGCCUUUUGGGGAUGUCCUGAAGGG
RNAcentral lists this long non-coding RNA (2060 nucleotides) under Homo sapiens (human). RNAcentral describes it as "HSALNT0321987". The record is from RNAcentral. Lineage: Eukaryota; Metazoa; Chordata; Mammalia; Primates; Hominidae.